RNAcentral lists this ribosomal RNA (513 nucleotides) under uncultured bacterium. RNAcentral describes it as "bacterial SSU rRNA". It matches the Rfam family "Bacterial small subunit ribosomal RNA", at positions 66 to 578 of the family's 1533-position model. The record is from RNAcentral.
ACGAGAAUCUAUGGAUCGAGGAUUCGUCCAAGUGAAGUAGAGGACAGUGGCGGACGGGUGAGUAACGCGUGAGGAACCUGCCUUCCAGAGGGGGACAACAGUUGGAAACGACUGCUAAUACCGCAUGACACAUAGAGAUCGCAUGGUUUUUAUGUCAAAGAUUUAUCGCUGAAAGAUGGCCUCGCGUCUGAUUAGCUAGUUGGUGAGGUAACGGCCCACCAAGGCGACGAUCAGUAGCCGGACUGAGAGGUUGACCGGCCACAUUGGGACUGAGAUACGGCCCAGACUCCUACGGGAGGCAGCAGUGGGGAAUAUUGGGCAAUGGGCGCAAGCCUGACCCAGCAACGCCGCGUGAAGGAAGAAGGCUUUCGGGUUGUAAACUUCUUUUGUCGGGGACGAGUAGAAGACGGUACCUGGCGAAUAAGCCACGGCUAACUACGUGCCAGCAGCCGCGGUAAUACGUAGGUGGCAAGCGUUGUCCGGAUUUACUGGGUGUAAAGGGCGUGUAGCCGG